AACCUUAUAUCCUGUUGAAAUAAUAUCACUUUUUAUUAUUUAAUUUCACAUCUUAAGUUUAAAUUCAAAUUCUAAUAUUUUUUUUAAAAAAAAAUUGAAAUAUUUAGUCAAAACCUAAUCUUUUUUACUAACUUCAAAUUUUAAAUUUAACCUCAAAGUCUAAUAAAUCUUAAAUCUAAACACAAAAUGUAAGAAAUAUUUUCAUUUAGAUUUUAUUAUUUAAAUAUUUUAGUAUCAGAUUAUUUUUAAAAAAGUUUUGUUUAUUUGUAUUUUAUUUUUAUUUUUUAAAAUCUAAUAAUAACAGGAAAUGCUAACUUUCAUCAUACCCUAAACCCUAAAUUUUGAAUAUUUCAUCAUAAAAUCCAAAGAUAACACAACAAGUAACAUGGUAAAAAGAAAAUCUCAUACUAAUAAUAAAUUAGAAUUUUUUUAUUUUUCUACUUCAAGAUCUAAACCCCAAUCAUGCCUUGAACUUCAACAUCAAAUACAUAAUAAACUUCAAAAUGAACAUUUGUAAAAAGUAAUUACUAGAACAAAAGGAUAUUAAAUUUUAACUUUUAAUAUUUAAUCAAUCACACAACAUGUGGAAUUUUUGAUACAAAUUUAGAUUUCAAAUUUUAAAUUAUAAUACCAAAUUAUUUAAAGUUUUAGAUAGUUUUUAUAAUAACUAUAAAUAAAUAAAAAGAUAAUUUGUAUUGUUUAUUUUGAACCAUUGAUAAGUUUAGAUCAAAGGCCCAAAAUAACUCUUCUAUCUAUCCUCACCUUUUGUUUCUAUUGGUUAGGCGUGGAUCACCAUUUGCACCGUUAGAUGGUAUGGUAUCGAAUCGACGCUUGAGAUUAAUUGCUUUUAUAAUUUUUUUUUAAAUUAUUUUCUGAGAUCUGAACAGAUCUCGUUCUUGAGAGACGAGAGAGAGAGAGGGAUAGAGAGAGAGAGAGAGAGAGAGAGAGAGAGAGAGAGAGGAAACAGAGAGAACAGAGAAGAGAUGGAGAUGGUCUCGAGAGUAGAAGAUGCGACGGCCGGUACUACCCUUUCUCACACCCUUGAUUGAACCUCGUUAGGCGUCAGAGAAGGUAAACGGGUCUGAUAGAGAUGUGUCGGAGAAGACAUGGGAAGAGGCUCGUCGGUUCCGUCGCACUACCUUCGAUCGAGUCGCAGUCUUUCACCACCACCACGGUCACUUCUCUAUUUGCCUGUCUAUCUCUCUCUCUCUGUUUUGAAUCUGUUUUUUUGUUCAUGGGCAGAGCUGGUGGUCGUUAGCAGAGGAGACAAUAUAUGGUGGUAUGCAGGACUGGAAUUAAUUACAUCCAUGAAUCUGUUUAUAUUCAUGUGUGAACUUCUUCUGGUGGUGGGAGUUUGAAGCGUCAAUGGAAUUGGAGUCGAGAAAUAUAGAAGAGAAGAGAUGGAGUUGGUUCAGAGGCAAGGGAAGAGAUACAGAUAAGAAGUUUGAUGGUGGUGGAAGAGUAAAGAUUGAUGCGGUUGACGGCGGCGAAGAGUUGGUGCAGAGAUAGGAUUUAUUUUUUUUAGGUUAAGCUGGUUUAGUUUUUUUUUUUAAUUUCUAAACCGGGUUUAUGUGUAAACCUUAGGUUAAUCAUGGUUUGGUUUAAUGUUUUUUAUUUGUUUAUGGUUUAAUGUAUUCUUUAAUUAUUUGCAUACUGAUUUUAAUCAAUAAAAUUUAAUUUUUAUUUA
This is an RNA transcript of Brassica napus (rape), 1687 nucleotides long. RefSeq lists it as uncharacterized. Lineage: Eukaryota; Viridiplantae; Streptophyta; Magnoliopsida; Brassicales; Brassicaceae. The record is from RefSeq and is a predicted model, not a curated record. The transcript is spliced from 2 exons.